AAUCUUCCGCAAUGGACGAAAGUCUGACGGAGCAACGCCGCGUGAGUGAUGAAGGUCUUCGGACCGUUAAACCCUGUUGUGAGGGAAGAACAAGUAUCGCUCGAAUAGGGCGGUACUCUGACGGUACCUAACCAGACAGCCACGGCUAACCACGUGCGACCAGCCGCGGGAAUCCGUAGGUGGCAAGCGUUACCCGGAAUUAUUGGGCGUAAAGCGAGCGCAGGCGGUUUCGUAAGGCUGAUGUGAAAGCCCACGGCUCAACCGUGGAGGGUCAUUGGAAACUGGGAAGCUUGAGUGCAGAAGAGGAGAGUGGAAUUCCAUGUGUAGCGGUGAAAUGCGUAGGGAUAUGGAGGAACACCAGUGGCGAAGGCGACUCUCUGGUCUGCAACUGACGCUGAGGCGCGAAAGCGUGGGGAGCGAACA
This 423-nucleotide ribosomal RNA is filed under the name uncultured bacterium. RNAcentral's name for it is "partial 16S ribosomal RNA". It matches the Rfam family "Bacterial small subunit ribosomal RNA", at positions 360 to 774 of the family's 1533-position model. The record is from RNAcentral.